AGGUCCCGCCUGCCCUGUGACUAUAUGUUUAACGGCCGCGGUAUUUUGACCGUGCGAAGGUAGCGCAAUCACUUGUCUUUUAAAUGGAGACCUGUAUGAAAGGCACCACGAGGGCUUAGCUGUCUCCCCUUUAAAGUCAAUGAAAUUGAUCUCCCCGUGCAGAAGCGGGGAUAUGCUCGUAAGACGAGAAGACCCUAUGGAGCUUAAGAUACAAAGCGAGUCGUGUCAAACACCCCCUCAAAGGAAAUGAACGAAAUGAACUCCGCUGGAAUGUCUUCGGUUGGGGCGACCGCGGGGAAAGACAAAACCCCCACAUGGACCAGGGCCACUAUAGCCCUAAAACCUAGACCCACAGGUCAAAUCAACAGUAAUUCUGACCACCAAAGAGCCGGCAAUGCCGAUCGACGGACCGAGUUACCCUAGGGAUAACAGCGCAAUCCCCUCCCAGAGCCCUUAUCGACGAGGGGGUUUACGACCUCGAUGUUGGAUCAGGACAUCCUAAUGGUGCAGCCGCUAUUAAGGGUUCGUUUGUUCAACGAUUAAAGUCCUACGUGAUCU
RNAcentral lists this ribosomal RNA (558 nucleotides) under Lampanyctus intricarius (diamondcheek lanternfish). RNAcentral's name for it is "partial 16S ribosomal RNA". It matches the Rfam family "Bacterial large subunit ribosomal RNA", at positions 1850 to 2606 of the family's 2925-position model. The record is from RNAcentral. Lineage: Eukaryota; Metazoa; Chordata; Actinopteri; Myctophiformes; Myctophidae.